This 253-nucleotide ribosomal RNA is filed under the name uncultured bacterium. Its description in RNAcentral is "partial 16S ribosomal RNA". It matches the Rfam family "Bacterial small subunit ribosomal RNA", at positions 524 to 776 of the family's 1533-position model. The record is from RNAcentral.
UACGAACCGUCCUACCGUUGUUCGGAAUCACUGGGCUUAAAGGGCGCGUAGGCGGGCAGCCAAGUCUGAGGUGAAAUCUUUCGGCUUAACCGGAAAAUAGCCUUGGAUACUGGCAGUCUCGAGGGAGGUAGGGGCAUGUGGAACUUCCGGUGGAGCGGUGAAAUGCGUUGAUAUCGGAAGGAACGCCGGUGGCGAAAGCGACGUGCUGGACCUCUACUGACGCUGAGGCGCGAAAGCCAGGGGAGCAAACGGG